CAGUCGCCACGGUAAUACGGAGGUCCCGAGCGUUGUUCGGAAUCACUGGGCGUAAAGGGAGCGUAGGCGGCGUGGUAAGUCAGAUGUGAAAUCCCGGGGCUCAACCCCGGAACUGCAUCCGAUACUGCCAUGCUAGAGGAUUGGAGAGGUAGCUGGAAUUCUUGGUGUAGCAGUGAAAUGCGUGGAGAUCAAGAGGAACACUCGUGGCGAAAGCGAGCUACUGGACAAUAACUGACGCUGAGGCUCGAAGGCCAGGGUAGCGAAAGGGAUUAGAUACCCCAGUAGUCCCUGUCUCUUAUAC
This 301-nucleotide ribosomal RNA is filed under the name uncultured bacterium. RNAcentral describes it as "partial 16S ribosomal RNA". It matches the Rfam family "Bacterial small subunit ribosomal RNA", at positions 509 to 807 of the family's 1533-position model. The record is from RNAcentral.